Molecule: non-coding RNA, 20 nt
Filed under: Arabidopsis thaliana (thale cress)
Lineage: Eukaryota; Viridiplantae; Streptophyta; Magnoliopsida; Brassicales; Brassicaceae
Source: RNAcentral
UCAGAGGUGAAAUUCUUGGA